AUUGAACGCUGGCGGCAGGCCUAACACAUGCAAGUCGAGCGGAUGAAGGGAGCUUGCUCCUGGAUUCAGCGGCGGACGGGUGAGUAAUGCCUAGGAAUCUGCCUGGUAGUGGGGGAUAACGUCCGGAAACGGGCGCUAAUACCGCAUACGUCCUGAGGGAGAAAGUGGGGGAUCUUCGGACCUCACGCUAUCAGAUGAGCCUAGGUCGGAUUAGCUAGUUGGUGGGGUAAAGGCCUACCAAGGCGACGAUCCGUGACUGGUCUGAGAGGAUGAUCAGUCACACUGGAACUGAGACACGGUCCAGACUCCUACGGGAGGCAGCAGUGGGGAAUAUUGGACAAUGGGCGAAAGCCUGAUCCAGCCAUGCCGCGUGUGUGAAGAAGGCCUUCGGAUUGUAAAGCACUUUAAGUUGGGAGGAAGGGCAGUAAGUUAAUACCUUGCUGUUUUGACGUUACCAACAGAAUAAGCACCGGCUAACUUCGUG
Molecule: ribosomal RNA, 484 nt
Filed under: uncultured bacterium
Lineage: Bacteria
Description: partial 16S ribosomal RNA
Rfam family: Bacterial small subunit ribosomal RNA
Source: RNAcentral